UUGCCAUAUCCCCAAAGCGGAGGAAAAGAAACCAACAGGGAUUGCCCUAGUAACGGCGAGUGAAGCGGCAACAGCUCAAAUUUGAAAGCUGGCUCCGGCCCGCAUUGUAAUUUGCAGAGGAUGCUUUUGGCGAGGUGCCUUCCGAGUUCCCUGGAACGGGACGCCAUAGAGGGUGAGAGCCCCGUAUGGAUGGACACCAGACCUGUGUAAAGCUCCUUCAACGAGUCGAGUAGUUUGGGAAUGCUGCUCUAAAUGGGAGGUAAAUCUCUUCUAAAGCUAAAUACCGGCCAGAGACCGAUAGCGCACAAGUAGAGUGAUCGAAAGAUGAAAAGCACCUUGAAAAGGGGGUUAAACAGUACGUGAAAUUGUUGAAAGGGAAGCAUUUAUGACCAGACUUGCGCCGGGCAGCUCAUCAGGGGUUCUCCCCUGUGCACUCUGCCCGGCUCAGGCCAGCAUCGGUUCUCGUGGGAGGAUAAGAACAGUGGGAACGUGGCCCCCCUCCGGGGGGGUGUUAUAGCCCAUUGUACGAUACUCUCGUGGGGACCGAGGUUCGCGCUCCGCAAGGAUGCUGGCGUAAUGGUCAUCAAUGACCCGUCUUGAAACCCGAAACCAAG
Molecule: ribosomal RNA, 614 nt
Filed under: Cytospora leucosperma
Lineage: Eukaryota; Fungi; Ascomycota; Sordariomycetes; Diaporthales; Cytosporaceae
Description: partial large subunit ribosomal RNA
Rfam family: Eukaryotic large subunit ribosomal RNA
Source: RNAcentral